CAGGUCAGCAUACUGCCGUGAAUACGUUCCCGGGCCUUGUACACACCGCCCGUCACACCAUGAGAGUUGGAGAUACCCGAAGCCUAUGAGCUAACUUUUAGAGGCAGUAGUCGAAGGUAGAAUCAAUGAUUGGGGUGAAGUCGUAACAAGGUAAC
This 155-nucleotide ribosomal RNA is filed under the name uncultured bacterium. Its description in RNAcentral is "partial 16S ribosomal RNA". It matches the Rfam family "Bacterial small subunit ribosomal RNA", at positions 1345 to 1500 of the family's 1533-position model. The record is from RNAcentral.